AUGUGUGUUUUUAUGAAACUGAGUUAGAGUGGGGAGCACACAUUGCACCCUGUAGUAUAUAAUACACAAAUUGCUGGCAUGAUUCAUGAGGCCAAAACAGAGACCUACUUAGUAGUAAAUUUUUGAAGGCGAUUCUAAUAAAGAUGUCUGCUGGGUAUUUGAAUUAUUUUCCUUCCAUGUAGAAGUCAUUGAGUCACAUGCAUACAAAAAAGUAUGAAAUUUAUGGUGUUGACUAGAGAUCAAUAUAGCCAAUUUCAUUUUCUGAAGUUACAUGAAAAAUGUGUGACAUUUAGAUACACGUUAACCCACUUGAUCAAUAUGGAAUCAUAUUGAACAUGGACUAUUUGUUGUUGGGUGGAGUUUGUGACAAAUUCAUUCCAGUUUCAUA
This 388-nucleotide unclassified non-coding RNA is filed under the name Hevea brasiliensis (rubber tree). Lineage: Eukaryota; Viridiplantae; Streptophyta; Magnoliopsida; Malpighiales; Euphorbiaceae. The record is from RNAcentral.